CCACAUUUUGAUUCUGCGCCGCCGUGCUUCACCCUCGCCCCUCGCCUCGUCACGAAGGAGUCAUCGCCAUUAGCAUCAUCGGAAUGUCGUUGGAACUGUUGCAAGACGUUUGAACGGUCUCCGCGCUCGCUCGUCCAUUUGUGAACAAAGGAGGCCAUGAUUUUGGGUCGUAUGGGGUAAGCUGUGUGAUCGAAGUGUGUGAUUAAGCUUCACUUGUAUUCACACCAUGACUGUUGGCUUUUGUUGUUUGUUUGGAGCAGCGGCUGCAGUGUUGCGUCCCGUCAGGCCAUGAAAGAAGGAAGGAGGAUAUGAUUUUGCGUCGUAAUGGGUUUUUGUUGUUUGUUCGGAGCAGCGGCUGCAGUGUCGCGUCCCGUCAGGCUCUACUUUGCUGAACACUAAGCUGGGUGAACCAACUUUGUUGUUGCUAUGACCGUAUUACUCAGUUUUACUCACUUGUGUUUGAACGUUACUAAUUUGCGAUUGCACGCCCUAUUUCAGACACAUAUCUCUCCAGCGCUUCAGAGACGUCGCUGGCGCCGAAAUUCUAGCUGUUUCACCGUGGGUCGCCAGAAGAACAGCAGAUCAUUGACUGUCAAUUGUGCGACGCGACACUCUGUGGCACGAAGGAUGUGUACGUGUGAAAUACGUAACUACUGUGUGCGGGGGAUGUUUUGUAUGAUUGUGUCGACACUGGAUACCACUUUCAAGGUAUGCAUUUUCGGAAUAAAGUAGAUACAUAUAUAA
Ornithodoros turicata is the source of this 744-nucleotide long non-coding RNA. RefSeq lists it as uncharacterized. The transcript has 4 exons. NCBI's taxonomy places the organism in Eukaryota, Metazoa, Arthropoda, Arachnida, Ixodida, Argasidae. The record is from RefSeq and is a predicted model, not a curated record.